This 253-nucleotide ribosomal RNA is filed under the name uncultured bacterium. RNAcentral describes it as "partial 16S ribosomal RNA". It matches the Rfam family "Bacterial small subunit ribosomal RNA", at positions 527 to 779 of the family's 1533-position model. The record is from RNAcentral.
CGAAGGGGCUAGCGUUGCUCGGAAUGACUGGGCGUAAAGGGCGCGUAGGCGGAUUGGUCAGUCGGGCGUGAAAUUCCUGGGCUCAACCUGGGGACUGCGUUCGAGACGGCUGGUCUAGAGUGGGGAAGAGGGUCGUGGAAUUCCCAGUGUAGAGGUGAAAUUCGUAGAUAUUGGGAAGAACACCGGUGGCGAAGGCGGCGACCUGGUCCUUGACUGACGCUGAGGCGCGAAAGCGUGGGGAGCAAACAGGAUU